GACGAACGCUGGCGGCGUGCUUAACACAUGCAAGUCGAACGGAAAGGCCCUGCUUUUGUGGGGUGCUCGAGUGGCGAACGGGUGAGUAACACGUGAGUAACCUGCCCUUGACUUUGGGAUAACUUCAGGAAACUGGGGCUAAUACCGGAUAGGAGCUCCUGCUGCAUGGUGGGGGUUGGAAAGUUUCGGCGGUUGGGGAUGGACUCGCGGCUUAUCCGCUUGUUGGUGGGGUAGUGGCUUACCAAGGCUUUGACGGGUAGCCGGCCUGAGAGGGUGACCGGCCACAAUGGGACUGAGAUACGGCGCAGACUCCUACGGGAGGCAGCAGUGGGGAAUAUUGCACAAUGGGCGGAAGCCUGAUGCAGCAACGCCGCGUGCGGGAUGACGUCCUUCGGGUUGUAAACCGCUUUCGCCUGUGACGAAGCGUGAGUGACGGUAAUGGGUAAAGAAGCACCGGCUAACUACGUG
This 468-nucleotide ribosomal RNA is filed under the name uncultured bacterium. RNAcentral describes it as "partial 16S ribosomal RNA". It matches the Rfam family "Bacterial small subunit ribosomal RNA", at positions 28 to 507 of the family's 1533-position model. The record is from RNAcentral.